This 407-nucleotide ribosomal RNA is filed under the name uncultured bacterium. Its description in RNAcentral is "bacterial SSU rRNA". It matches the Rfam family "Bacterial small subunit ribosomal RNA", at positions 28 to 433 of the family's 1533-position model. The record is from RNAcentral.
GAUGAACGCUAGCGGGAGGCCUAAUACAUGCAAGUCGAGCGGUAGAGUGACUUCGGUUGCUUGAGAGCGGCGAACGGGUGAGUAACGCGUACACAAUCUACCUUUAAGAGGGAAUAGCCCUGGGAAACUGGGAUUAAUGCCCCAUGGCAUCACGAGACGGCAUCGUUUUGUGAUUAAAGCUGAGGUGCUUAGAGAUGAGUGUGCGUCUGAUUAGCUAGUUGGUGCGGUAACGGCGCACCAAGGCGACGAUCAGUAGGGGGCGUGAGAGCGUGGACCCCCCACACGGGUACUGAGACACGGACCCGACUCCUACGGGAGGCAGCAGUAAGGAAUAUUGGUCAAAUGGAGGAAACUCUGAACCAGCCAUCCCGCGUGCAGGAAGAAUGCCCUAUGGGUUGUAAAACUGC